CCCGGAGGUACCUACAUACAAAAGAUAUAAAUGACCUAAAUGUUGAUGGACAAAGAAGGAUUUGAGGAAAGGUGGGAGUCUGAAGAGCAAGAAAGAACUGCCAUGCCCGGAUAAUAACCAGAGGAGACAUCGACCAACAUUGACUCCAUCUGAGCUGGGAUGCUGACACAGUGCCCAUGCUUUCUAGCCUACCACCAGUACUGCCAACCCCAGGAGGUGUGUGGACCUUCAUCAUCCUACCUUUGAACUUCCCCUUCAGGGACAGUCUCCUGACACGACCUGCAUAGAUCCAGCGAUGCCCAGCUGUGGGGCCUAUAAAUACCAGGUGACAUUUAUUUAUUUAUUUAUUUAUUUUUCCAGGUGACAUUUAAAAGGCUGAUUUUUAUUA
RNAcentral lists this long non-coding RNA (388 nucleotides) under Bos indicus x Bos taurus (hybrid cattle). RNAcentral's name for it is "lncRNA (ENSBIXG00000028766.1)". Lineage: Eukaryota; Metazoa; Chordata; Mammalia; Artiodactyla; Bovidae. The record is from RNAcentral.